Molecule: long non-coding RNA, 325 nt
Organism: Engraulis encrasicolus (European anchovy)
Lineage: Eukaryota; Metazoa; Chordata; Actinopteri; Clupeiformes; Engraulidae
Exons: 2
Source: RefSeq, a predicted model, not a curated record
GGAGAGGUGAGAGGAGGAAUAGAAAAGAGAAGUUUAGGAGGAAUGUGAGAUAUUGUCUAAUAACCAAAUACAGGCAUCAAAAAAAACAAGAGCCAUCAUAAACACAAACAGGCAUCAUAACAGCACAAUACAGGCGUCGUAACACAGACAUACAGGCGUCGUAACAUCUGAAUAGAAUCUUAAUAGCAACUCAUUACAGGUGUAAUAAACAUAAAGACGUAAUAAAGUGAUAACAUAAGAAGCAUAAGUAGCGGCAUAAAGCAACAAAGGCAUUAACGUAACAGGAACAGUCAUAACACGAGCUUUAUAACCAAUCAUAAGGUGU